Long non-coding RNA from Terrapene triunguis (Three-toed box turtle), 727 nucleotides. RefSeq lists it as uncharacterized. The record is from RefSeq and is a predicted model, not a curated record. Lineage: Eukaryota; Metazoa; Chordata; Testudines; Emydidae. The transcript has 5 exons.
CUGAGGCACAGGAUCAGUCACUAUGACUUGUCCAAGGUCAUAAAGGAAGUGUCUGGCUGAGGCCGGAAUUGAUGAUAGGGCAAUGGACUUGGACUCAGAAGACCUUAUCCCCUCAGACAUCCUUCCUGUCUGCAACUGAAAACAUUUAAGAGCAAACACGAUGUAAUAUCCGACUCAGGCAGGGUAAUGAACUCGUGCUGACAUCCCAAUCUUGUGGACACGUCUGCCCUUCUGCAGCUCUCUCAUCUGCAGAAUUAAGCCCCUGGAUGGAUUCGUCUUGUAUUUAUUAAUGCCCAGCUAGGACUGAGAGAAUUUUGGCCUCUCGAUUAUGUUGAUAAGAUGGAAUCUCUGGAAUCAGAAUGAUGGAGGAUGCUAAAAUAAAGCCACAUCUGAAUCAGCCCAAUUCAGCAGAGCAACGGCCCAUCUCAUCUGACAUCUGAUCUCGCUGUCACCUGAGACUUAUGAUGGCUGCUUCAGAGUCAAGUGCAAAACUCCCAGAAUGCUCGGACUUGUACCAAACAUAACGUUAGUCACACACCCUUGGGAUAGAAACAUGCAGAGAAAACAAUGAAACAAGACUGUUUAUAAAGCCGUCAACACAUUAGCCAGUGGAGAGGAGCCCAAGUUUCCAUGUAAAGUCCUGAAUGGACGCAAGUGACAUGAGACACAUGGAAAAUGUGGAGCAAGGAAUAAAAUUAUAAAUAAAACAAAUACAAUAAAUUGGGAA